GAUUAUGGCUCAGGAUGAACGCUAGCGAUAGGCCUAACACAUGCAAGUCGAGGGGCAGCAUAGAGUAGCAAUACUUGAUGGCGACCGGCGCACGGGUGAGUAACACGUAUGCAACCUACCUACAUCAGGGGAAUAACCCGGAGAAAUUCGGACUAAUACCGCAUAAUACAGGGAUGCCGCAUGGCAAUAUUUGUUAAAGAUUUAUCGGAUGUAGAUGGGCAUGCGUUCCAUUAGCUGGUUGGUAAGGUAACGGCUUACCAAGGCAACGAUGGAUAGGGGAACUGAGAGGUUUGUCCCCCACACUGGAACUGAGACACGGACCAGACUCCUACGGGAGGCAGCAGUGAGGAAUAUUGGUCAAUGGACGAGAGUCUGAACCAGCCAAAUCGCGUGAAAAGGAAGACUGCCCUACGGGUUGUAAACUUCUUUUGUACAGGAAUAAAAGACAUUACGUGUAAUGUAUUGCAUGUACUGUACGAAUAAGCAUCGGCUAACUCCGUGCCAGCCGCCGC
Molecule: ribosomal RNA, 512 nt
Filed under: uncultured bacterium
Lineage: Bacteria
Description: bacterial SSU rRNA
Rfam family: Bacterial small subunit ribosomal RNA
Source: RNAcentral